Vigna angularis (adzuki bean) is the source of this 2578-nucleotide RNA transcript. RefSeq lists it as uncharacterized. The record is from RefSeq and is a predicted model, not a curated record. NCBI's taxonomy places the organism in Eukaryota, Viridiplantae, Streptophyta, Magnoliopsida, Fabales, Fabaceae. The transcript has 6 exons.
UAUUCUGUUGAGUGAAGGUUUCUCUAUUUCUUAAAACCCUCUGAUUUCACUCCUCAGCCUCAAAUUCGGAACCUCUUCUCACCCUGCAUCUCAAUUGUGUUUGAUCGGUCAUCGGCUGUUCAGUUGCCGGUUGCUGAUCACCGUUUCUUUUUUCAUCUAGGAUUGAAAUGCUAUAUUCACGAGCCUGAGGAUUCAAAGCUCUAGUCCUGGCAUAGUGUUACAAGUUCAUGAUGGAUUUGAGGCUUAACCGUAAUAAAUGGGUUGGGAAUAUUUACCAGAAGUUUGAAGCAGUGUGCCACGAGGUGGAUGAUAUUGUAUGCCAGGAUGCUAAAACAUAUCUUGAGAAUCAGGUACAGAAUGUUGGAGAUAGUGUGAAAAAGUUUUAUUCUGGAGUUGUACAUGACCUGCUUCCCUUAAAUUCAUUGGUCAGUUCACAAUAUGAAGAUCAUCUUCUGGUAGCUGAGAAAAAUAACAUUGACUUUUCAGUAGAUUCUGUUUGUAAAGAUAAUAAUAAAAAAAGGGAUGAGGAAAAUCCCAUCAAUCAUUAUUAUGUGGCAUUGAUGAAUUCCAAUGCCAUUGAUAUUGCUGAUCAUAAGCAACACGGUGUUCCUGUCAAGAACAUCGAUGAAUGGGGUUCGUUUUCCCUAGAGUUGGAAGGUUCUUGCAUCACCAAGGAAGAAGUUGGUGUUGACUCAAGUGGAACUUCUGAGUCUAAGAAAGAAAACUUCCACAUCAGCUUUGAAGAGGCUUCCAUUGGUAUUGCUGAUUAUAAUCAAGAUGGUGUUCCUGUCAACAACAUUCUUACAAAUCAAGAGAGUGAUGAAUCGUGCUCAGUUUCCCUGGAGUUGGAAAAUUCUUGCAUCACUCAGGAAGAAGUUGGUCUUGACUCAAGAGGAACUUCUGAGUCUGAGAGAGAAAACUUCCACACCUGCUUUGAAGAGUUUGCCGCUGAGUCUGAUCCUAAACCAAUGAACUUGAUGUCUGUUGGAGAGAAAGAAUCCCUGGAAUUCCCUAUACACAGUGAAUCUUCUUGUGAUACUUUUGACAGUGGAUGGGAAGUUUCAAUCAAAACAAAGGUUAACAUAGACGAGAAUGCAGGGAAAAACUCAUGUCUGAUUGCUGAUGAAAAUGCUAUGAAUUCAUCCCCCUCCCAGGUGUGGAGUCCCCAUAGUCUUGACGAGGAAAUUCCCAUUAAUUAUUUUUCUUUGGCAUUGCGCGAUACUAAUGCCAUUUAUAUUACUGAUAUUCAGAAAGUUGGUGUUCAUACCAGGAACGUAAAUCAAGUUAGUGAUGAAUCUUGCAAAGUUUCCCUAGAGGUGGAAGAUUCUUACAUUCCUCAGGAAGAGGUUGGUGAUGAAUCCAGAGGAACAUCUGUAUCUUCAAAAGAAAACAUCCAUACAGGCAGUGAAGUGGUUGCUCUUGAGUCUGUUCCUAAACCAUUGAACAUGAUCUCUGUUGGAGAGAAAGACUCCCUGGAAUUCCCUAUACACCGAGAACCUUGUUUUGAUUCUUUUGACAGUGGAUCCAAAAUUUCAAUCAGAACAAAGGAUAACAGAGAUGUGAAUCCACGUCAAAAUUCAUGCUUGACUGUUGAAGAAAAUGCUAGGAAUUCAUCCACAUCCCAAGUGUUGAGUUCCCAGUCUCUAGAUGAGGAAGAAUCAACUAAUGUCUCCUUGUUUAGGGAAUCAUCUAAUGCCAACCAGAACACACAUGGUAUACUAGCUGAAGUUUCACCUGAUGUUUCAGUGCCAAGUGAAAGGCCUAUGACAAGGACAGAACCUUCAUGCUCCAGUAGUUCCUUAACUUCGGGCAGUCUGUAUUCGAAGUCGCAUGGAAGAUACUCCUUUGAAAAUGAAUCUUGCAAAAGAAAUCCUGGUGAUGCUUCUCCGUGUAUUUCAGAUAGUUUUGUUUUGCCUGUAUGUUGUGAAUCUUCUACCCAUCCAGCUGGUCAAGUCAUGGGACCUCAGAGUGGUCUUCUGUUCUCUGGUUUCUGUCAAUCUAUGGGAUCAAAAGAUAAAUCACUGGUGAUUUCUCUUGAAUCCUGCACUGAAGUCAUUCAAUUCAAUGAUGAUGAUCCGAAGCUGGAGAAAAGCUGUGUAAAUGUGGUUGAUAGUGAACUCCAUGCAGUUGCCUGUAGAACUCGAAAGCUUCGAUCAUAUAAGAAAAGAAUCCAGGAUGCAUUUGCUUCAAAGAAGAGGUUAUCCAAGGAGUAUGAACAGUUAGCAAUAUGGUAUGGAGACUGUGAUAUUGAGCCUAGACAAGAUUUUUCGGAAACUUUAUUACCAUUAAGCACCAGAACGGAUAUGGAAUCAAAGAAUGUGCAAGAGCAGCAUGAUUCAGAAAGUGAGUGGGAGCUACUGUAAAUACAAUAUUGACAUACCAGUUGCUUUGGCUCUUCAUUUUUUGCAUGUUCAAGGUGGAUGUGCUUACUGAAAAUUACAUUAUUUCGGUUUCCACGAAGAAAUGGUUUCCAUUCCCAGCUCCUGAAGAUGGAAAAUUAGUUGUCAUUUUUGGGAACUGUCCAAAUACAAAUGAAGGAAAAUGAAUUGAAUGAGUUAAAGCAUGUCUGCUUCUAUUA